UUCGAGGAAUCCUUCAUCAAUGGUUGUGAAUGACUGAUUUUUCUCAAUCUUUUCGAUUUCUAAAAAGAAUUAGGAAGCUUAACCUCCAAAGAAAUUGCAUGGUUGGCUAAGAAACAACAGCCAAGUUAUGUAAAGUGAUAGAGCAACAAUGAGAGGGCUUAUGAAUGUUACUCAAGUGUUCUUUUUAGUAAAAAGCUGAGUCACAGAAUGUGUUGCGGCCUACCAUCUCUGGCUUUGUCCUCUUAAAGGACCCCAGCAAUUUAGAGCCAAUGACAGCCAUAUGUUUGGUGAGCUGGUGAGGGCAUGGUCGGAGGCUGUAGAAUGAGAAUGAGGUGAAUUUGGUGGAUGACCCAUGAAGCUGCGUCCCCCAACAGAGCAAGUGGAGAUAAAAUCUUUAUAUAAACCCUAAAACCCAUAAGAAAGAAACAGAGAGAAGAAAAGAAGUGGAUUUGCAGAGGCCAUUAAGGCAGCAAACUUCAACCACUUCCCCAUUCCUUCUAUGUUUCCCAGUAAACCCACAAACCCCAAAAAUAAAGUUUUAACGUUCGGUAAAAUCAAUGUUCUUUUUAACCUGCCACCUAAAAUGCCUCAAUAAUGUCUUAUUG
Cucurbita maxima (winter squash) is the source of this 605-nucleotide long non-coding RNA. RefSeq lists it as uncharacterized. The record is from RefSeq and is a predicted model, not a curated record. NCBI's taxonomy places the organism in Eukaryota, Viridiplantae, Streptophyta, Magnoliopsida, Cucurbitales, Cucurbitaceae. The transcript is spliced from 3 exons.